UCGAGAAUUUUUCACAAUGGGCGAAAGCCUGAUGGAGCGACGCCGCGUGGGGGAUGAAGGGCUUCGGCUCGUAAACCCCUGUCAUUCGAGAACAAACCCUGCGAUUAAAUAGAUCGCGGGCUGAUAGUAUCGGAAGAGGAAGGGACGGCUAACUCUGUGCCAGCAGCCGCGGUAAUACAGAGGUCCCAAGCGUUGUUCGGAUUUACUGGGCGUAAAGGGUGCGUAGGCGGCGAGGGAAGUUCGGGGUGAAAUCUCCAGGCUCAACUUGGAAAAUGCCUUGAAGACUCCCUUGCUAGAGGAUCGCAGAGGAGACUGGAAUUCUCGGUGUAGCAGUGAAAUGCGUAGAUAUCGAGAGGAACACCAGUGGCGAAAGCGGGUCUCUAGGCGAUACCUGACGCUGAGGCACGAAAGCCAGGGGAGCAAACGGGAUUAGAUACCCCGGUAGUCCUGGCCCUAAACGGUGCGCACUUGCUGUGAGCAGAUUUAAAACCUGUUCGUGG
This 500-nucleotide ribosomal RNA is filed under the name uncultured Verrucomicrobiota bacterium. Its description in RNAcentral is "bacterial SSU rRNA". It matches the Rfam family "Bacterial small subunit ribosomal RNA", at positions 355 to 846 of the family's 1533-position model. The record is from RNAcentral. Lineage: Bacteria; Pseudomonadati; Verrucomicrobiota.